AAUCAACGCUGGCGGCGUGCCUAACACAUGCAAGUCGAACGCGAAAGCCCCGCAAGGGGUUAGUAGAGUGGCAAACGGGUGAGUAACGCGUGGGUGACCUGCCUUCGAGUGGGGGAUAACGUCUCGAAAGGGACGCUAAUACCGCAUGACAUCCUGCCUUUGAAGAGGCGGAGAUCAAAGCCGGGGAUCGCAAGACCUGGCGCUUGUAGAGGGGCCCGCGUCUGAUUAGCAGUUGGUGGGGUAACGGCUCACCAAGGCAACGAUCAGUAUCCGGCCUGAGAGGGCGGACGGACACACUGGGACUGAGACACGGCCCAGACUCCUACGGGAGGCAGCAGUGGGGAAUUGUUCGCAAUGGGCGCAAGCCUGACGACGCAACGCCGCGUGGAGGAUGAAGACCUC
This 402-nucleotide ribosomal RNA is filed under the name uncultured bacterium. RNAcentral's name for it is "bacterial SSU rRNA". It matches the Rfam family "Bacterial small subunit ribosomal RNA", at positions 29 to 418 of the family's 1533-position model. The record is from RNAcentral.